AGCGAACGCUGGCGGCAGGCUUAACACAUGCAAGUCGAGCGGGCACCUUUCGGGGUGUCAGCGGCGGACGGGUGAGUAACGCGUGGGAACGUGCCCUCUGGUUCGGAAUAACUCAGGGAAACUUGAGCUAAUACCGGAUACGCCCUUUUGGGGAAAGGCUUGCUGCCGGAGGAUCGGCCCGCGUCUGAUUAGCUAGUUGGUGAGGUAACGGCUCACCAAGGCGACGAUCAGUAGCUGGUCUGAGAGGAUGAUCAGCCACACUGGGACUGAGACACGGCCCAGACUCCUACGGGAGGCAGCAGUGGGGAAUAUUGGACAAUGGGCGCAAGCCUGAUCCAGCCAUGCCGCGUGAGUGAUGAAGGCCCUAGGGUUGUAAAGCUCUUUUAUCCGGGACGAUAAUGACGGUACCGGAGGAAUAAGCCCCGGCUAACUUCGUG
This 437-nucleotide ribosomal RNA is filed under the name uncultured bacterium. RNAcentral's name for it is "partial 16S ribosomal RNA". It matches the Rfam family "Bacterial small subunit ribosomal RNA", at positions 29 to 507 of the family's 1533-position model. The record is from RNAcentral.